RNAcentral lists this ribosomal RNA (207 nucleotides) under uncultured bacterium. Its description in RNAcentral is "partial 16S ribosomal RNA". It matches the Rfam family "Bacterial small subunit ribosomal RNA", at positions 568 to 774 of the family's 1533-position model. The record is from RNAcentral.
CACGUAGGCGGACUAUUAAGUCGAGGGUGAAAUCCCGGGGCUCAACCCCGGAACUGCCUUCGAUACUGGUAGUCUUGAGUUCGAGAGAGGUGAGUGGAAUUCCGAGUGUAGAGGUGAAAUUCGUAGAUAUUCGGAGGAACACCAGUGGCGAGGGCGGCUCACUGGCUCGAUACUGACGCUGAGGUGCGAAAGUGUGGGGAGCAAACA